UGAAGCCAAGCUUGCUUGGUGGAUCAGUGGCGAACGGGUGAGUAACACGUGAGCAACCUGCCCUGGACUCUGGGAUAAGCGCUGGAAACGGCGUCUAAUACUGGAUAUGAGCCCUUAUCGCAUGGUGGGGGUUGUAAAGAUUUUUUGGUCUGGGAUGGGCUCGCGGCCUAUCAGCUUGUUGGUGAGGUAAUGGCUCACCAAGGCGUCGACGGGUAGCCGGCCUGAGAGGGUGACCGGCCACACUGGGACUGAGACACGGCCCAGACUCCUACGGGAGGCAGCAGUGGGGAAUAUUGCACAAUGGGCGAAAGCCUGAUGCAGCAACGCCGCGUGAGGGAUGACGGCCUUCGGGUUGUAAACCUCUUUUAGCAGGGAAGAAGCGAAAGUGACGGUACCUGCAGAAAAAGCGCCGGCUAACUACGUGCCAGCAGCCGCGGUAAUACGUAGGGCGCAAGCGUUAUCCGGAAUUAUUGGGCGUAAAGAGCUCGUAGGCGGUUUGUCGCGUCUGCUGUGAAAUCCCGAGGCUCAACCUCGGGCCUGCAGUGGGUACGGGCAGACUAGAGUGCGGUAGGGGAGAUUGGAAUUCCUGGUGUAGCGGUGGAAUGCGCAGAUAUCAGGAGGAACACCGAUGGCGAAGGCAGAUCUCUGGGCCGUAACUGACGCUGAGGAGCGAAAGGGUGGGGAGCAAACAGGCUUAGAUACCCUGGUAGUCCACCCCGUAAACGUUGGGAACUAGUUGUGGGGACCAU
This 749-nucleotide ribosomal RNA is filed under the name Microbacterium aurantiacum. RNAcentral's name for it is "partial 16S ribosomal RNA". It matches the Rfam family "Bacterial small subunit ribosomal RNA", at positions 70 to 832 of the family's 1533-position model. Lineage: Bacteria; Bacillati; Actinomycetota; Actinomycetes; Micrococcales; Microbacteriaceae. The record is from RNAcentral.